This 323-nucleotide long non-coding RNA is filed under the name Androctonus crassicauda. The record is from RNAcentral. Lineage: Eukaryota; Metazoa; Arthropoda; Arachnida; Scorpiones; Buthidae.
AGAAAACCUCAAUAUCAGCCAAUAGUGAUCAGAAACUGGUCGCCAGACCCCCUGCUUUUAAAAAAGCAGCAUUCCGAGCAUACUUCAAGAGAGCUUGCAUGUAUUGCACACUUCCAAGAAGCUUGGAAGAACUUGCGUAUAUAUACCGGAUCGGAAAACAACAUGGAUACUCUGCAGGCUUCAUAAAAUCAGUUGAACUAAAAGUAAAACAAAUCUUGAACCAAAACCCAGUGACUUCAUCUCUACUUAACCAUGAAGUGGACCUGACAGAAAAGUUUGUCCCCAUCCCCUAUCAACUACGUAGAUUGUCCUCUGUAAAAAGC